RNAcentral lists this long non-coding RNA (430 nucleotides) under Gallus gallus (chicken). Lineage: Eukaryota; Metazoa; Chordata; Aves; Galliformes; Phasianidae. The record is from RNAcentral.
UGCAAAGCCUGACCUAAUUGACACUCAGUUUAAUAUACCUGAUGGGAAGCAGUCAUGAGAUCCACUGCUGCGUCAGUUUUCAAUCCUUGGAACGAAUACAGGGAUGUGAAAUACGAGGCAGGUCGUAAUUGAUUUGCCUUUUCUGAAAUGCUGGGAUGUUACUGCGAGAAAAUAAACACCAGAGUUCUCAUGUGAAGAAAAAAAAAGAGGCAGACACUGGACUGGCUGAGCCAAGCUGACAAACUUCAUUACCAAUAGCUGAAAAAAAUCGAACUAAAGACGCACAGGAAGUGAGUAUGGCACCAUCUGCAUCGGUUCUCUUGUCCAAGUGGAAGCUACCCUCUGCCUAAGAAUUAUGUGGAUACAACUGAGGAGAAUGUUACCUGUGAAAGGAGUUGUUUGGGCAACCUCUUCAUGACGUAUUCAUACA